AUGGCGAGCGGCACGAGGGGUGUCGCCGCGGCGACUAUCUCGCUAGCCGUCCUGCUCCUAGUCUUUUGCUUCUCGCCCAGCAUGGCCGCGGCCGCCGCCGUCCCCAGCAUCGACGCCACGCGGACGCGCCACCUGCCGCUGCGACACGGACUGCUGCGCGGCCCGGAGAGCGUCGCCUUCGACGCCAAAGGCAACGGCCCGUACAGCGGCGUGUCCGACGGCCGCGUGCUGAAGUGGAACGGCGACGCGCUCGGAUGGACGACGUACAGCUACAGCCCCGACUACAGCAGCGAGGCCUGCACGGCGUCUCUCCUUCGCCCGGAGACUGCCACCGAGGGCCACUGCGGCCGGCCACUCGGUCUGCGGUUCCACCUCAAGUCCGGGUACCUCUACGUGGCCGACGCUUACAAGGGACUCAUGCGGGUCGCGCCGGGCGGCGGGGAGGCCACUGUGCUUGUCACAGAGGUUGAUGGCAUACCUCUCCGCUUCACCAAUGGGGUGGACAUCGACCAGGUCGCCGUGCUCCAGGCCGACAUCACUUACCCCAAUGGCCUCGCCAUCAGUGCUGAUCGAACACAUUUAAUCAUCUCAUCGACCGGGCCGUGUAAGCUGCUACGAUACUGGAUCAAGGGCUCCAAGGCGUGCACGAUGGAGCUAUUCGCCGACCUCCCUGGCUAUCCAGACAACGUGAGGCCUGACAAGAGAGGAGGAUACUGGGUGGCACUACACCGUGAGAAGGCUGAGCUCCCCUUUGGUGUCGAUAGCCACCUACUUGCCUUGAGGAUCGAUGUCGAGGAAAAAAUAAUCGAGGAGAUGAGAGGACCCAAGAGCGUGAGGCCGACCGAGGUUCUGGAGAGGAAAGGUGGCAGAUUGUUCAUGGGAUCCGUCGAGCUUACUUAUAUGGCAGUCGUCAAACGCACAUAG
RNAcentral lists this ribosomal RNA (924 nucleotides) under Triticum aestivum (bread wheat). RNAcentral's name for it is "partial small subunit ribosomal RNA". The record is from RNAcentral. Lineage: Eukaryota; Viridiplantae; Streptophyta; Magnoliopsida; Poales; Poaceae.